UACGGAGGGAGCUAGCGUUGUUCGGAAUUACUGGGCGUAAAGCGCGCGUAGGCGGCUUUGUAAGUUAGAGGUGAAAGCCCGGGGCUCAACCCCGGAACUGCCUUUAAGACUGCAUCGCUUGAAUCCGGGAGAGGUGAGUGGAAUUCCGAGUGUAGAGGUGAAAUUCGUAGAUAUUCGGAAGAACACCAGUGGCGAAGGCGGCUCACUGGACCGGCAUUGACGCUGAUGUGCGAAAGCGUGGGGAGCAAACGGG
This 253-nucleotide ribosomal RNA is filed under the name uncultured bacterium. RNAcentral describes it as "partial 16S ribosomal RNA". It matches the Rfam family "Bacterial small subunit ribosomal RNA", at positions 524 to 776 of the family's 1533-position model. The record is from RNAcentral.